UAUGAAAAUCUUUACCAAAAAAUAGUUUAUUGCACAAAAUUUAAGGAAUUCCCAAGCACACUUACAUUUGUAAAAAAAUCAACGUGCUUUUUAAAGUUACACUUUGUCAGACAAGGUGACCCCUUUCCCCAGAACAGCCACAACUUGAGUGCUCUCUUUUGUGAGGAAAUUUUUAAUAAAAAUGAGUAACUCAAAAGCACUGAAUUUUCCAGACCCUCUAACACAUUUCCCUCAGGAUCCUGUGAGAGCCUGAGAUCACUGUAUGAUGAAAUUUGCCUGGACCUUCCAGUCAGUGAGCUGAGAACGCCUCACACCACAGCAUCACUCAAGUCCUCACGUCAGAGGGCUCCUCGAAGGGAGGCUCCAGGACGGUUCUCUCUCAGAUUUGCUGGUCCCCUCCCCUCUGAGAAUCUUCACAUACAACAUUCUGUUUUUGUUUUUAAAGACCUCAGGGAACUAGAACUCUUACGUUGUGGGAACCCUACACCAAGGAGAGCUGAGGGCAAACUCCCUAGCACAGCACAGUGCGGCACGGACUGCGUUCUGGGGGGCAGGGCCCUGCUGGACCCACCUGAGGAGAGUCCGUUUCACAUCCUAUCAAAAUCACUGCCUGAUCCAUAGUGCAGAGGUUGGGAACAGGGGUGUGAGUCCGUAAGACCCGUAGCAUCCAUCUCACACACACCAUGGAAAAACACAUGAAAACCAAGUUACGUUGUUUUGGGAGCGUCAGAAAAACAACCAGUGACGUCGUGAAGUGCCCAAGCCUGUUGUGACACACAGCGUGGGGACAAACACGCCGCAUAAUGCUCUGGGGACCCUGUUUUCUAAGCAAUACUCCCGACUUCACUGCCUUUUCCAUGAGGAUAUUCCAUCAUUCCCACUGCUGCCCACAAGAAGAAAAUAAUUCAAACUUUACGCACUGAAGUAACUCUGGGAGGUAGAAGUGCCAGGAGAGUCCCUUGGAGAUAAGAAAAAAACCUCGACAAUAAAGAAAAAGCUGGCAAUUUAAAACUUCAGUCGGGGGUGGUGGUUCACGCCUUUAAACCUAGCACUUUGGGAGGCUGAGGUGGGCAGAUCACCUGAGGUCAGGAGUUCGAGACCAGCCUGGCCAAAAUGGUGAAACUCCACCCCCAUAAAAAUACAAAAAUUAGCCCGGUGUGGUGGCGGGCACUGUAGUCCCAGCUACUCGGGAGAAUGAGGCAGGAGAAUGGCUUGAACCCGGAAGGCGGAGCUUGCAGUGAGCCAAGGUCACGCCACUGCACUCCAGCCUGGGCGACAGAGUCAGACUCUGUCUCAAAAAACAAACAAAAAACCCAACUUCCUCUUUUAGGCAUCGUCUUAAGAAAGGAAGCCUGAAGGCAGUGUCCGUGUGAACACAAGAGGUCUCAGAUCCAGAAGCACAAGCCGUGCAUGAAAACACCGGAAGACUCACCGUGGAGAGCGAGGGCAGCCAGGCCCUGCCAAACCAGAGGGGGCCCUGGCACCGGCGGCCACAGAGCACCGGGGAGGUAUCACGCCCAAGGGCACACGCAGGAAAAGCGGGGUGAGAAACGCAGAGCUAACUUCCCUUGAGUAUUUUCACAAUUAGUUUGUCCUAAGAGAAAAAAAAUACACGGUGAACAUCGCUCACUCGAGGACUUUCCAUGAGAAGUCGCUCCCCAUCGAAUGUGUGUGAUUUCUUGAUUUUAAUUUUUAAAAAUUUUCUUAUUUUUUUGAGACGGGAGUCUCGCUCUGUUGCCCAGGCUGGAGUGC
Molecule: long non-coding RNA, 1752 nt
Filed under: Macaca fascicularis (crab-eating macaque)
Lineage: Eukaryota; Metazoa; Chordata; Mammalia; Primates; Cercopithecidae
Description: lncRNA (ENSMFAG00000064942.1)
Source: RNAcentral